RNAcentral lists this ribosomal RNA (375 nucleotides) under uncultured bacterium. Its description in RNAcentral is "partial 16S ribosomal RNA". It matches the Rfam family "Bacterial small subunit ribosomal RNA", at positions 338 to 727 of the family's 1533-position model. The record is from RNAcentral.
CCUACGGGGAGCAGCAGUGGGGAAUAUUGGGCAAUGGGCGCAAGCCUGACCCAGCAACGCCGCGUGAAGGAAGAAGGCUUUCGGGUUGUAAACUUCUUUUCUCAGGGACGAAGUAAGUGACGGUACCUGAGGAAUAAGCCACGGCUAACUACGUGCCAGCAGCCGCGGGAAUACGUAGGUGGCAAGCGUUAUCCGGAUGUACUGGGUGUAAAGGGCGUGUAGGCGGGACUGCAAGUCAGAUGUGAAAACCAUGGGCUCAACCUAUGGACUGUAAUUGAAACUGUAGUUAUUGAGGACUGGGGAGGGAGGAGGAAGUCGGGGUGGAGCGGGGAAAGGCGUAGAUAUGAGGAAGAACGCAGAGGGGGAAGGUGGCCU